This 498-nucleotide ribosomal RNA is filed under the name Triticum aestivum (bread wheat). Its description in RNAcentral is "partial small subunit ribosomal RNA". The record is from RNAcentral. Lineage: Eukaryota; Viridiplantae; Streptophyta; Magnoliopsida; Poales; Poaceae.
AUGUCUACUCUCUUGCCCAAGACCCACGGUGAAGCGCCUUGGAAGGGGGUGUGGAUCUCACCAAACCCUCACACGAAGCAGGAGCAACACGAUGCACGGCGCCGAGGCGGGACACAUGCCGCACAUCAAGGCAUGAUAGUGAGCUCAGAGGACGCCAGGGGUUGCGACAUUCACGCGCACAAUGACCAUUCUCCAAACAACGGGAGCACCGCAACGGAUCUCUGCAAACAGCCGCACGAUGCCCAUAAGCAAGGCAUCUACAACAUUUACCGUGGAGCCAAGCAGGGAUGGGACGAGGACGACGAGGAACCAUUAUCGAGGAGGAAGAUUUCUGUGCGUGAGAAGGUCGAUGACAUUCUCUUUGAGUUAGAGCUUCAUAGCUUGCUUAAACGUUUGGAGGCGGCUAGCCCUGGAUCUGGCAAGGCGAUUGUGGAGGAGGCUCUUAGGAGCAAAGGAAAGAAGAGUGACGCCACAGAAAAGGCGUCGGCGGCUGCUUAA